This 469-nucleotide unclassified non-coding RNA is filed under the name Hevea brasiliensis (rubber tree). Lineage: Eukaryota; Viridiplantae; Streptophyta; Magnoliopsida; Malpighiales; Euphorbiaceae. The record is from RNAcentral.
GCUGAAAAGCUAAUGAAGUAUCAGAACAUCCGCGGAGGGCGAGUAAAACUGCACUCUAUACUAAUGCCUCUGUCAGAGUUUGAUCAUUCAGAGAAGGGAGAUGCAUUGUAUGCUAUGGAGUUAGCACUGUCUUUGGAGAAGUUGACAAAUGAAAAACUGUUGAACUUGCACAGCGUGGCAGAUCGAAAUAAUGAUGCACAGAUGAUGGAAUUCAUUGAGAGCGAGUUUUUGCCAGAGCAGGUUGAAGACAUUAAGAAGAUAGCAGAAUAUGUCUCUCAAUUAAGGAGGGUGGGGAAAGGCCACGGAGUCUGGCAUUUUGAUCAGAUGCUUCUCCAUGAGGGUGAUGCUGCAUGAUGAAGAUAAAUAACUUGUACUUUGUUCUUGGUUUUAGUAUGUGUUUGGGUAUUGAAGUACUACGACUCUUCUUCCCUGGGAGCUUUAAUGUAUUAGAGAGAAUAAAUUAGCAUUG